RNAcentral lists this long non-coding RNA (272 nucleotides) under Mytilus galloprovincialis (Mediterranean mussel). The record is from RNAcentral. Lineage: Eukaryota; Metazoa; Mollusca; Bivalvia; Mytilida; Mytilidae.
CAGAAUUCAAAAUGUUUUUUUAAGGAAAGAAAUCUACAUAUAGAAGUUAAGAAAUUGUGUUUGUCCAACAUCUGGGACAGAAUUGAAAUGGUUUGCUAUUAGCACCCUGAAAUGUACAUCUUGUGACUAAAAUAGACUUCUUGAUGAACAUAAAAAAGUGUGCAAAGCAUGCAUGCUGAUGACAUUGGAAAUGAAAAGUCAUGUGAUCUUGAAAUGGACAAGCCAACCAAUAGUAUUUCUUUUUUGAAGAAUCAGGUGAUCAUGAAAUGAAC